RNAcentral lists this ribosomal RNA (417 nucleotides) under uncultured bacterium. Its description in RNAcentral is "bacterial SSU rRNA". It matches the Rfam family "Bacterial small subunit ribosomal RNA", at positions 355 to 787 of the family's 1533-position model. The record is from RNAcentral.
UGGGGGAUAUUGCACAAUGGGGAAAGACCCUGAUGCAGCGACGCCGCGUGGAGGAAGAAGGUUUUCGGAUUGUAAACUCCUGUCGUUAGGGACGAAUCAUGACGGUACCUAACAAGAAAGCACCGGCUAACUACGUGCCAGCAGCCGCGGUAAAACGUAGGGUGCAAGCGUUGUCCGGAAUUACUGGGUGUAAAGGGAGCGCAGGCGGACCGGCAAGUUGGAAGUGAAAACCAUGGGCUCAACCCAUGAAUUGCUUUCAAAACUGCUGGCCUUGAGUAGUGCAGAGGUAGGUGGAAUUCCCGGUGUAGCGGUGGAAUGCGUAGAUAUCGGGAGGAACACCAGUGGCGAAGGCGGCUUGCUGGACGACAACUGACGCUGAGGCUCGAAAGCGUGGGGAGCAAACAGGAUUAGAUACCC